Molecule: long non-coding RNA, 1516 nt
Organism: Halichondria panicea
Lineage: Eukaryota; Metazoa; Porifera; Demospongiae; Suberitida; Halichondriidae
Exons: 3
Source: RefSeq, a predicted model, not a curated record
UAAAUGGGGUUAACAACAAGGAGCAGGCCGCAAUGACGUCACUCAUCUCAACGCAUGUGCACUAAAGUUGAAGCCUCGUGGCAGUCUCAGAACUAUUAGCAGUCACUUUGUGAGCAUAUCAGACGUCCAUCAUUCAUUCAUUCAUUCAUCUUCUGUCUACGAAUUCUCUCUACCGAUUAGUGCCCGGUCAUCGGCCAUGGACCCCCCCCCCCCCCUCAGUUGGCAGGUUACAUGCUGGACAAUAUCAAUAUGGAUUAGACAAAGACAAUGCAGCAGUUUACUGUGCAUGUACUAGUUAGGUAGCUGCUACCCUAACAGUUUUAUCUAGCUCAAUUUUUUUAUUCCAUAAUAUACUACCUCGCUAGCUAGAUGUGUUGUCAGUCAUCAUUAUAAUAAGCAAAAUUGUGUUACUAAUAAUAAUACAUGAACAUUGUGUAAUGAUGAUGUCAGUAAUUAUACCCAAAAAUAGUUAGUACAAAAAGGGAUAGAGAUACACAUGAACUAUUUUAUUACACAAUCAAUGAAAUGGAUUCAUCUAAAGAAGAAUGGCUUAGGAAACGCUACACAGACGCACCAUCCGAAGGACCUCAAGCAAAACGUGUAAAGUUCGAGGAUUUGUAUAACGACAUCUCUUCAGCUUUUGUAAAGACAAAAUUCAACUCGAAAAUGGUGUCAGACGUUAUUAAGUCUGUUUUUCCUCUUUCAAUAUCAAGACCAGCUGGAAAAUCUCGCAAGUCACACAUUUUUGGUAUUGAACCUCGGGAACAACCAGCUAGUAGAUCUACCAAAUCCUUCGCCAUUACAACACGAGAAUAGUCAGCUAAGACAACAGGUGAAAGCAUUGGAAGAACGAGUUCAUGGGCUAGAGGAACAGCUUGUCGGGCAAAUAAAUUCCUUGACAACUUCGAAAAACGUUGCUUAUCAUGGGCCUGAUACUGUUGAUCACUUCAAUGACUUUACCAUGGCUAAACUCCUUGAAGAAUUUGAGCUGCUAUCUCCUGCGAUUGCUGAGGAUUCUCGGUAACACUGGCAGGCGGGAUAAUGAAGAUGAUGAAGAAGUGGAUCCAACAUCAGACACAAUGGUGGUGAUGGCCAUGUGUGCCCUGCUGAAAAGCCGAACAAGAAAGCCGGGUUCUUGGACUUCAACUUUUGAUCAGCUUCAUGCUAGUGGCUCGGUCAACAAACAGUCAGGUAGGUACCUAUACAAAAUUAAUGAGAAAUAUUCUAAUUAUGAAUCAUGCUGGGAUAUGUGUGUCAUAUGUAACCACAUGGAAGUACCUAAAACAACUGACUGAUCAAGCCAGAUACACUGAGCUAGUACGAGAAGGGCACUGGCUAUGGGUUUUUGACAACGUUAAUAUGCACCAAAAAGUCAGACACGAACGUGAAGAUUGCCACUCGAGUAUGCUCAACAUUACAGCACGCAUAGCUGUUCAAAUAAAACGUGUUCCAGAUUGGUCAUUUGAAUGGAGUGAUAUUACACCGCAACGUUCUCUUGACUCACUCACGACAGUCG